RNAcentral lists this long non-coding RNA (235 nucleotides) under Physcomitrium patens. Its description in RNAcentral is "long non-coding RNA (PPAT_LNC010422)". Lineage: Eukaryota; Viridiplantae; Streptophyta; Bryopsida; Funariales; Funariaceae. The record is from RNAcentral.
AAGCCAUAGUAGAAGUAGCUUUUAGCUAAGACAUUUAGAUUGCAAGAUUGGUGGUCAUUAAAAAGCUUCAAGAUGAUUUUCUUAGUAAUUAGGAAUAUAGAAAUUAGACUAAGAUCAUCCUUGAUCUGAUUAAUAAUUUUUUUAUAUUAUACUUUUUUUUUGAAGUUCUCUAAUUUUUCUAUAUAUGACAAUUGUAAUUCUAACUUUUUAUUCUAAUACAUGUAUAUAUAUAUAU